RNAcentral lists this ribosomal RNA (497 nucleotides) under uncultured bacterium. RNAcentral's name for it is "partial 16S ribosomal RNA". It matches the Rfam family "Bacterial small subunit ribosomal RNA", at positions 28 to 507 of the family's 1533-position model. The record is from RNAcentral.
GACGAACGCUGGAGGCGUGCCUAAUACAUGUAAGUUGAGCGCUGAAGGUUGGUACUUGUACCAACUGGAUGAGCAGCGAACGGGUGAGUAACGCGUGGGGAAUCUGCCUUUGAGCGGGGGACAACAUUUGGAAACGAAUGCUAAUACCGCAUAAAAACUUUAAACACAAGUUUUAAGUUUGAAAGAUGCAAUUGCAUCACUCAAAGAUGAUCCCGCGUUGUAUUAGCUAGUUGGUGAGGUAAAGGCUCACCAAGGCGAUGAUACAUAGCCGACCUGAGAGGGUGAUCGGCCACAUUGGGACUGAGACACGGCCCAAACUCCUACGGGAGGCAGCAGUAGGGAAUCUUCGGCAAUGGACGAAAGUCUGACCGAGCAACGCCGCGUGAGUGAAGAAGGUUUUCGGAUCGUAAAACUCUGUUGGUAGAGAAGAACGUUGGUGAGAGUGGAAAGCUCAUCAAGUGACGGUAACUACCCAGAAAGGGACGGCUAACUACGUG